Long non-coding RNA from Notothenia coriiceps (black rockcod), 208 nucleotides. RefSeq lists it as uncharacterized. Lineage: Eukaryota; Metazoa; Chordata; Actinopteri; Perciformes; Nototheniidae. The transcript is spliced from 3 exons. The record is from RefSeq and is a predicted model, not a curated record.
UCCUUCCAUGGAUGUGAAAAACAAUUGGGUGUUGGAGAUUCGUAAAGUUCUCACAGGCCAACUCGAGGCGUGCAGAGAAGCAAGCCAGCACAACAUCUCUGGGGCCCCGAUGAGGAAUGUCUACAAGAAGGCACUGAGACAGUCGGAUUCAUCAAGUCCAGAGCCAGGCUUCAGGAGAUCCAACCCCAGCCCUAACAUGAGGCAGAAG